UAUAGAAGUGGAAAGUGACAACGUCUUCAAAUUAGCUGCAAAUGCUCUGCAGGAGGCGAAGGGAGACUACGCAAGUGAUGAAAACACGAGAGCUGACUUGAAGAAACUCCCGACUCUUCCCACCAAGGUCCUCAAGGAACACCCAUCACUUGCAUACUGGUACGCUUGCAGGACAGCUUAUUUGAGAUAUUACCUGCACUAAUGCCUCAGAAAUAAAAAUAAAAUAAAAAAAGCACGCUGCUAAAAUGCAUCCACACAGAAUGGUUUGCUCUGGUGCUGUACGUCAGGUUGAAGCGUACCAAGGUGUCUUCUUUGUUGGACAUUGCAGUGAGGAUCGAGUAAUUGAACAUUACAAACAGCGGAAAGGAGUCUCCCGAGGACAGGCCAUUGUGCAGUAUUUGACAUUAGUGGAAUCCUUGCCCACGUAUGGCGUGCAUUAUUAUGAAGUGAAG
RNAcentral lists this long non-coding RNA (452 nucleotides) under Cyclopterus lumpus (lumpfish). RNAcentral's name for it is "lncRNA (ENSCLMG00005016202.1)". The record is from RNAcentral. Lineage: Eukaryota; Metazoa; Chordata; Actinopteri; Perciformes; Cyclopteridae.